AUUGAACGCUGGCGGCAGGCCUAACACAUGCAAGUCGAGCGGAUGAAGGGAGCUUGCUCCUGGAUUCAGCGGCGGACGGGUGAGUAAUGCCUAGGAAUCUGCCUGGUAGUGGGGGAUAACGUCCGGAAACGGGCGCUAAUACCGCAUACGUCCUGAGGGAGAAAGUGGGGGAUCUUCGGACCUCACGCUAUCAGAUGAGCCUAGGUCGGAUUAGCUAGUUGGUGGGGUAAAGGCCUACCAAGGCGACGAUCCGUAACUGGUCUGAGAGGAUGAUCAGUCACACUGGAACUGAGACACGGUCCAGACUACUACGGGAGGCAGCAGUGGGGAAUAUUGGACAAUGGGCGAAAGCCUGAUCCAGCCAUGCCGCGUGUGUGAAGAAGGUCUUCGGAUUGUAAAGCACUUUAAGUUGGGAGGAAGGGCAGUAAGUUAAUACCUUGCUGUUUUGACGUUACCAACAGAAUAAGCACCGGCUAGCUUCGUG
Molecule: ribosomal RNA, 484 nt
Filed under: uncultured bacterium
Lineage: Bacteria
Description: partial 16S ribosomal RNA
Rfam family: Bacterial small subunit ribosomal RNA
Source: RNAcentral